RNAcentral lists this ribosomal RNA (253 nucleotides) under uncultured bacterium. Its description in RNAcentral is "partial 16S ribosomal RNA". It matches the Rfam family "Bacterial small subunit ribosomal RNA", at positions 524 to 776 of the family's 1533-position model. The record is from RNAcentral.
UACGAAGGGUGCAAGCGUUAAUCGGAAUUACUGGGCGUAAAGCGUGCGUAGGCGGUUGCCUAAGUCAGAUGUGAAAGCCCCGGGCUCAACCUGGGAAUGGCAUUUGAUACUGGGCAGCUAGAAUGUGGUAGAGGAAGACGGAAUUCCCGGUGUAGCGGUGAAAUGCGUAGAUAUCGGGAAGAACACCAAUGGCGAAGGCAGUCUUCUGGGCCGACAUUGACGCUGAGGCACGAAAGCGUGGGGAGCAAACAGG